GCUGGACGUAAAGAAAGAAGUGAUGCACUCAAUUCUGCAAUAGAUAAAAUGACCAAGAAGACCAGGGACUUGCGUAGACAGCUCCGCAAAGCUGUCAUGGACCACGUUUCAGAUUCUUUCCUGGAAACCAAUGUUCCACUUUUGGUAUUGAUUGAAGCUGCAAAGAAUGGAAAUGAGAAAGAAGUUAAGGAGUAUGCCCAAGUUUUCCGUGAACAUGCCAACAAAUUGAUUGAGGUUGCCAACUUGGCCUGUUCCAUCUCAAAUAAUGAAGAAGGUGUAAAGCUUGUUCGAAUGUCUGCAAGCCAGUUAGAAGCCCUCUGUCCUCAGGUUAUUAAUGCUGCAUUGGCUUUAGCAGCAAAACCACAGAGUAAACUGGCCCAAGAGAACAUGGAUCUUUUUAAAGA
RNAcentral lists this small RNA (404 nucleotides) under Pan troglodytes (chimpanzee). Its description in RNAcentral is "processed transcript". Lineage: Eukaryota; Metazoa; Chordata; Mammalia; Primates; Hominidae. The record is from RNAcentral.